GCCCGUUUGGCGCAAUGGUAGCGCGUCGCCCUCCUAAGGCGAAGGCUGCGGGUUCGAUCCCCGUGAUGGGUG
Non-coding RNA from Terfezia claveryi, 72 nucleotides. Lineage: Eukaryota; Fungi; Ascomycota; Pezizomycetes; Pezizales; Pezizaceae. The record is from the annotation of a GenBank genome assembly.